This 1343-nucleotide ribosomal RNA is filed under the name uncultured bacterium. RNAcentral describes it as "16S ribosomal RNA". It matches the Rfam family "Bacterial small subunit ribosomal RNA", at positions 28 to 1378 of the family's 1533-position model. The record is from RNAcentral.
GACGAACGCUGGCGGCGUGCUUAACACAUGCAAGUCGAACGGAAAGGCCCUGCUUUUGUGGGGUGCUCGAGUGGCGAACGGGUGAGUAACACGUGAGUAACCUGCCCUUGACUUUGGGAUAACUUCAGGAAACUGGGGCUAAUACCGGAUAGGAGCUCCUGCUGCAUGGUGGGGGUUGGAAAGUUUCGGCGGUUGGGGAUGGACUCGCGGCUUAUCAGCUUGUUGGUGGGGUAGUGGCUUACCAAGGCUUUGACGGGUAGCCGGCCUGAGAGGGUGACCGGCCACAUUGGGACUGAGAUACGGCCCAGACUCCUACGGGAGGCAGCAGUGGGGAAUAUUGCACAAUGGGCGGAAGCCUGAUGCAGCAACGCCGCGUGCGGGAUGACGGCCUUCGGGUUGUAAACCGCUUUCGCCUGUGACGAAGCGUGAGUGACGGUAAUGGGUAAAGAAGCACCGGCUAACUACGUGCCAGCAGCCGCGGUGAUACGUAGGGUGCGAGCGUUGUCCGGAUUUAUUGGGCGUAAAGGGCUCGUAGGUGGUUGAUCGCGUCGGAAGUGUAAUCUUGGGGCUUAACCCUGAGCGUGCUUUCGAUACGGGUUGACUUGAGGAAGGUAGGGGAGAAUGGAAUUCCUGGUGGAGCGGUGGAAUGCGCAGAUAUCAGGAGGAACACCAGUGGCGAAGGCGGUUCUCUGGGCCUUUCCUGACGCUGAGGAGCGAAAGCGUGGGGAGCGAACAGGCUUAGAUACCCUGGUAGUCCACGCUGUAAACGGUGGGUACUAGGUGUGGGGUCCAUUCCACGGGUUCCGUGCCGUAGCUAACGCUUUAAGUACCCCGCCUGGGGAGUACGGCCGCAAGGCUAAAACUCAAAGGAAUUGACGGGGCCCCGCACAAGCGGCGGAGCAUGCGGAUUAAUUCGAUGCAACGCGUAGAACCUUACCUGGGUUUGACAUGGAUCGGGAGUGCUCAGAGAUGGGUGUGCCUCUUUUGGGGUCGGUUCACAGGUGGUGCAUGGCUGUCGUCAGCUCGUGUCGUGAGAUGUUGGGUUAAGUCCCGCAACGAGCGCAACCCUUGUUCACUGUUGCCAGCACGUUAUGGUGGGGACUCAGUGGAGACCGCCGGGGUCAACUCGGAGGAAGGUGGGGAUGACGUCAAGUCAUCAUGCCCCUUAUGUCCAGGGCUUCACGCAUGCUACAAUGGCUGGUACAGAGAGUGGCGAGCCUGUGAGGGUGAGCGAAUCUCGGAAAGCCGGUCUCAGUUCGGAUUGGGGUCUGCAACUCGACCUCAUGAAGUCGGAGUCGCUAGUAAUCGCAGAUCAGCAACGCUGCGGCGAAAAAGUUCCCGGG